AGUGAACGCUGGCGGUAGGCCUAGCACAUGCAAGUCGAACGGCAGCACAGUAAGAGCUUGCUCUUACGGGUGGCGAGUGGCGGACGGGUGAGGAAUACAUCGGAAUCUACUUUUUCGUGGGGGAUAACGUAGGGAAACUUACGCUAAUACCGCAUACGACCUACGGGUGAAAGCAGGGGAUCUUCGGACCUUGCGCGAUUGAAUGAGCCGAUGUCGGAUUAGCUAGUUGGCGGGGUAAAGGCCCACCAAGGCGACGAUCCGUAGCUGGUCUGAGAGGAUGAUCAGCCACACUGGAACUGAGACACGGUCCAGGCUCCUACGGGAGGCAGCAGUGGGGAAUAUUGGACAAUGGGCGCAAGCCUGAUCCAGCCAUACCGCGUGGGUGAAGAAGGCCUUCGGGUUGUAAAGCCCUUUUGUUGGGAAAGAAAAGCAGCAGGUUAAUACCCCGCUGUUCUGACGGUACCCAAAGAAUAAGCACCGGCUAACUUCGUG
Molecule: ribosomal RNA, 492 nt
Filed under: uncultured bacterium
Lineage: Bacteria
Description: partial 16S ribosomal RNA
Rfam family: Bacterial small subunit ribosomal RNA
Source: RNAcentral